CUGCGAAUGGCUCAUUAUAUAAGUUAUCGUUUAUUUGAUAGUACCUUACUACUUGGAUAACCGUGGUAAUUCUAGAGCUAAUACAUGCUGAAAAUCCCGACUUCGGAAGGGAUGUAUUUAUUAGAUUCAAAACCAAUGCCCCCUGGGCUCACUGGUGAUUCAUGAUAACUCCUCGAAUCGCACGGCCUUGCGCCGGCGAUGGUUCAUUCAAAUUUCUUCCCUAUCAACUUUCGAUGUUUGGGUAGUGGCCAAACAUGGUUGCAACGGGUAACGGAGGGUUAGGGCUCGACCCCGGAGAAGGAGCCUGAGAAACGGCUACUACAUCCAAGGAAGGCAGCAGGCGCGCAAAUUACCCAAUCCCGACACGGGGAGGUAGUGACAAUAAAUACUGAUACAGGGCUCUUUUGGGUCUUGUAAUUGGAAUGAGUACAAUUUAAAUCCCUUAACGAGGAACAAUUGGAGGGCAAGUCUGGUGCCAGCAGCCGCGGUAAUUCCAGCUCCAAUAGCGUAUAUUAAAGUUGUUGUGGUUAAAAAGCUCGUAGUUGAACCUUGGGCCUGGCUGGCCGGUCCGCCUCACCGCGUGUACUGGUCCGGCCGGGCCUUUCCCUCUGUGGAACCCCAUGCCCUUCACUGGGCGUGGCGGGGAAACAGGACUUUUACUUUGAAAAAAUUAGAGUGCUCCAGGCAGGCCUAUGCUCGAAUACAUUAGCAUGGAAUAAUGAAAUAGGACGCGCGGUUCUAUUUUGUUGGUUUCUAGGACCGCCGUAAUGAUUAAUAGGGACAGUCGGGGGCAUCAGUAUUCAAUAGUCAGAGGUGAAAUUCUUGGAUCUAUUGAAGACUAACUACUGCGAAAGCAUUUGUCAAGGAUGUUUUCAUUAAUCAGGAACGAAAGUUAGGGGAUCGAAGACGAUCAGAUACCGUCGUAGUCUUAACCAUAAACUAUGCCGACUAGGGAUCGGACGAUGUUAUUUUUUGACUCGUUCGGCACCUUACGAGAAAUCAAAGUGCUUGGGCUCCAAGGGGAGUAUGGUCGCAAGGCUGAAACUUAAAGGAAAUUGACCGGAG
Molecule: ribosomal RNA, 1065 nt
Filed under: Ophiocordyceps xuefengensis
Lineage: Eukaryota; Fungi; Ascomycota; Sordariomycetes; Hypocreales; Ophiocordycipitaceae
Description: SSU rRNA
Rfam family: Eukaryotic small subunit ribosomal RNA
Source: RNAcentral